CCUUUUGGCCAUGUACAGGUGCAUCUCAAAAAAUUUUAAUAUCAUGGAAAAGUUCAGUUUUUCCCAUAAUUUUAUUCAAAAAGUGGAACUUUCAUAUAUUUUAGAUUCAUGACACAUAAAGUGAAAUAUUUCAAAAAAUUUUUUGUUUUAAUCUUGAUUAUAGUUUACAGCUCAUGGAAAUCAAAAAUCCAGUAUCUCAAAAUAUUAGAAUAAAGAAUUUAUAAUACAAAAAUGUCAAUCUUCUGAAACGUAUGUUAAUUUACUUGGUCAGGGCUUCUUUUGCAUGAAUUACUGCAUCGAUGCAGCAUGGCAUGGAAACAAUCAGCCUGUGGCACUGCUGAGGUGUUCUGGAAGCCCAGGUUGCUUUGAUAGCGGCCUUCAGCUCAUCUGUAUUGUUGGGCCUGGUGUCUCUCAUAGAUUCUCUAUGGGGUUCAGGUCAGACGAGUUGGCUGGCCAGUCAAGCCCAGUAAUACUGUAGUGGGGUGUGUGUCGUGGUUAAAACGUCACCCUUAUUAACUAUGUGGCCAAUGGGCUCUCUCCCUACCACAGUAUAUAAAUGGUCGUUGCGGCCUCUCAGAAUGCGUCAUGGUGGAAAACCUGCCCCUUCCUUUCGUUACUACGGGCUACAAAGAUAUGUGGUUUUAGCUUUGUUGCUUAGCCGUGUGAUGCUAGCGUUGUCCAUUUACCAUGCGAUUUACUUGUUUAGUGUGACAUUGGGCUACUGAGUCAGUGUGUGGGUGUGAUGUGCUGCCCAAUCUCAGUGCGGUGUGCCGUCAAGGCUCCCAACUGUGUAGCUUGUACAUGACUUUCGUAUGUACCAUCGUGAGUAUCAUGUCAUCGGAUCACGGAGCUGAGUGCUUCCUGAGGCGGGGGUUUGCUGCACCUUUAGGCUUUACUUAAGGGUCGCCAUUAUUGCUGUUUGUAGUGAAUUUUGUGGAUAUGAUUCUGAUUAGUGGGGUGCUUUUCCCUUUUGUCUAGCGGAUGCUGUUGUACUAGCCUGCCCUUCAUACAGUAAGCAUCAGUCCUCCUAUGAUAACUUUCUCUUGUGACCGUUUUAUUUGACCAAUGCCUGACUGUGUUGGCUGUUUCUUUUAAAAUAGUUCUUGGCCAGUCUUUUUAACUUCAAAAUAAAAUGUAUUUUUGUAUGGAAA
Ictalurus furcatus (blue catfish) is the source of this 1151-nucleotide long non-coding RNA. RefSeq lists it as uncharacterized. The transcript has 2 exons. The record is from RefSeq and is a predicted model, not a curated record. Lineage: Eukaryota; Metazoa; Chordata; Actinopteri; Siluriformes; Ictaluridae.